RNAcentral lists this ribosomal RNA (254 nucleotides) under uncultured bacterium. Its description in RNAcentral is "partial 16S ribosomal RNA". It matches the Rfam family "Bacterial small subunit ribosomal RNA", at positions 524 to 776 of the family's 1533-position model. The record is from RNAcentral.
GACAGAGGGUGCAAACGUUGCUCGGAAUCACUGGGCGUAAAGGGCGCGUAGGCGGCCAGUGCAAGUCAGUUGUGAAAUCUCCGAGCUUAACUCGGAAAGGUCAACUGAUACUGCUCGGCUAGAGUGCGGAAGGGGCAACUGGAAUUCUUGGUGUAGCGGUGAAAUGCGUAGAUAUCAAGAGGAACACCUGCGGCGAAGGCGGGUUGCUGGGCCGACACUGACGCUGAGGCGCGAAAGCUAGGGGAGCGAACGGG